UCAUAAGACUAAAACACAUACAUCAAAAUUCAACUGAUAAACAGACAUAGUAAGAAUCGAUAAAGUCAAAAGGAAAUUAAUCCAGGCAGCGUUUAAGUUCAUGUGAUUCAAAGACAAACAAGAGAAUUAGCUAACUGAAGUUACAAAGGCAUGCUUCUUACAAACUAGAAAGGACUAAUUUAACAGCAAUAACAGUGUAAGAUACUAACAUUUAACAUGGCAAACAAUAAAUAAACAAUACCUUUGAUAUCAUCCUCUUGACAAAGNNNN
Molecule: long non-coding RNA, 270 nt
Filed under: Solanum tuberosum (potato)
Lineage: Eukaryota; Viridiplantae; Streptophyta; Magnoliopsida; Solanales; Solanaceae
Description: long non-coding RNA (STUB_LNC001068)
Source: RNAcentral